CCCUUAGAUGUUCUGGGCUGCACACGCGCUACACUGAAGGGAUCAGCGUGUUCUUUUCCUGGUCUGAAAGGAUCGGGUAACCCGCUGAACCCCCUUCGUGGUAGGGAUCGGAGCUUGCAAUUAUUCUCCGUGAACCAGGAAUUCCCAGUAAGCGCAAGUCAUAAGCUUGCGUUGAUUACGUCCCUGCCCUUUGUACACACCGCCCGUCGCUACUACCGAUUGGACGUUUUAGUGAGGAUUUUGGACUGAGCCAAUGGUGGUUCACACCACUGUUGUGCAUGGAAAGAUCUCCAAACUUGAGCGUUUAGAGGAAGUAAAAGUCGUAACA
Molecule: ribosomal RNA, 328 nt
Filed under: uncultured eukaryote
Lineage: Eukaryota
Description: partial 18S ribosomal RNA
Rfam family: Eukaryotic small subunit ribosomal RNA
Source: RNAcentral